RNAcentral lists this ribosomal RNA (394 nucleotides) under uncultured bacterium. RNAcentral's name for it is "partial 16S ribosomal RNA". It matches the Rfam family "Bacterial small subunit ribosomal RNA", at positions 523 to 918 of the family's 1533-position model. The record is from RNAcentral.
AUACGUAGGGGACGAGCGUUGUCCGGAAUUACUGGGCGUAAAGGGCGCGCAGGCGGAUAUUUAAGUCAGCUGUAAAAGGCAUGAGCUCAACCCAUGUAUGCGGUUGAAACUGGGUAUCUAGAGUGCUGGAGAGGUAGGCGGAAUUCCCGGUGUAGCGGGGAAAUGCGUAGAUAUCGGGAAGAACACCAGUGGCGAAGGCGGCUUACUGGCCAGCAACUGACGCUGAGGCGCGAAAGCCAGGGGAGCGAACGGGAUUAGAUACCCCGGUAGUCCUGGCCGUAAACGAUGAAUGCUAGGUGUGGGUGUCGAGAGGCAUCCGUGCCGGAGUUAACGCGAUAAGCAUUCCGCCUGGGGAGUACGAUCGCAAGAUUGAAACUCAAAUGAAUUGACGGGG